Molecule: ribosomal RNA, 433 nt
Filed under: uncultured bacterium
Lineage: Bacteria
Description: partial 16S ribosomal RNA
Rfam family: Bacterial small subunit ribosomal RNA
Source: RNAcentral
AACGAACGCUGGCGGCAUGCCUAACACAUGCAAGUCGAACGAGACUUUCUGGUCUAGUGGCGUACGGGUGCGUAACGCGUGGGAACCUGCCCUUAGUUUCGGAAUAAUCCCCCGAAAGGGGUUCUACUACCAGAUAAUGUUUUCGGACCAAAGAUUUAUUGCCUUAGGAUUGGUCCGCGUUGGAUUAGCUAGUUGGUAGGGUAAAAGCCUACCAAGGCGACGACCCAUAGCUGUUCUGAGAGGAUGAUCAGCCACACUGGGACUGAGACACGGCCCAGACUCCUACGGGAGGCAGCAGUGGGGAAUAUUGGACAAUGGGCGAAAGCCUGAUCCAGCAAUGCCGCGUGAGUGAUGAAGGCCUUAGGGUUGUAAAGCUCUUUUACCCGGGAUGAUAAUGACAGUACCGGGGGAAUAAGCGCCGGCUAACUCCGUG